GGUGAAGCUAGUGGGCGCCAUUUUGAAGUUGGGCAGAAAGUGACUCCAGUGGUGGAACCCGGAGCCAACCAUUUUUAGUUACACGCCCCUGUCCUGGCAAGAGCUAGAAGGUGAGCGUGCCAGUUCCUGUGCACACAAGCGCUCAGCAUCCUGGGGCAGCACAGACCACCGAAAAGAGAUUUCCAAGUUGAAGCAACAACUGCAGAGGACGAAGCUGAGCCGCAGUGGGAAAGAGAAGGAGCGAGGUUCACCACUCCUAGGGGACCACGCAGUGCGGGGAGCACUGAGGGCGUCCCCUCCCAGCUUCCCCUCAGGGUCCCCUGUCUUGCGACUCAGCCCCUGCCUGCACAGGAGCCUGGAAGGGCUCAACCAAGAGCUGGAGGAGGUAUUUGUGAAGGAGCAGGGAGAAGAGGAGCUGCUGAGGAUCCUUGAUAUCCCUGAUGGGCACCGGGCCCCAGCUCCUCCCCAGAGUGGCAGCUGUGAUCAUCCCCUCCUCCUCCUGGAGCCUGGCAACCUUGCCAGCUCUCCUUCCAUGUCCUUGGCAUCUCCCCAGCCUUGUGGCCUGGCCAGUCAUGAGGAACA
RNAcentral lists this long non-coding RNA (582 nucleotides) under Homo sapiens (human). Its description in RNAcentral is "non-protein coding lnc-FAM117A-1:5". The record is from RNAcentral. Lineage: Eukaryota; Metazoa; Chordata; Mammalia; Primates; Hominidae.